Manis pentadactyla (Chinese pangolin) is the source of this 297-nucleotide long non-coding RNA. RefSeq lists it as uncharacterized. The transcript is spliced from 2 exons. NCBI's taxonomy places the organism in Eukaryota, Metazoa, Chordata, Mammalia, Pholidota, Manidae. The record is from RefSeq and is a predicted model, not a curated record.
CCGAGGAGCAGUGCCCCUUCCACCGCCCCCUCAUCGCCCCCCGGAGCCGGGGGUUUGGGGAGGCCGCUACACCGGGCGGGCUGCGGGCGCUGCUUCGAGAGGCCCGUGUCCGGGGCCGCCUGGAGCGGAGCGGAGCAGGGAGAAGCAAUCCUCUCUCUGAAAGUGAAGCAAGCCUUCCGCGAGUGUCCUUUGGAUCCUAGUGUCAGAGGGAGGGGAAGCCCCCCGUGGACACCGAUGGCACCUUACAGAGGCUUUCACGUCUGCCUGCAGGAAAUAAAUUCCACUUCUUUUUUCUGA